This is a long non-coding RNA of Mercurialis annua (annual mercury), 334 nucleotides long. RefSeq lists it as uncharacterized. NCBI's taxonomy places the organism in Eukaryota, Viridiplantae, Streptophyta, Magnoliopsida, Malpighiales, Euphorbiaceae. The record is from RefSeq and is a predicted model, not a curated record. The transcript is spliced from 2 exons.
UCUGUUUUUUGUUUUAAAUUCAUAUAAAAAUUAUAUUCGCUCAGUAGCUAGUUGUUGGUAGAAUUUGGUAGUUUUCAUGAUAGAAUGCAUGUUUGUGUAUUCCAACGCAUUUGAGGUUGUUCUUUUUUGACAGUAUUAACACUGAAUUAAUUCAGGUUAUGUAAUUUUUCUCAGGUUUCCGAAGUGGUGAGAUGACCGUUUUUGAUGGUGGGACAGAACAAACGAAGCUAGCUUUAUAUUUUGUAGAGGGAGUUUCCCGGAAAACACCUUCUGUUUUGCUUGGCACUUGCCAUCUUCUGCUUUGCUGCAAUUAUUUUGGAUUGGUAUGGUGCAA